This 485-nucleotide ribosomal RNA is filed under the name uncultured bacterium. RNAcentral's name for it is "partial 16S ribosomal RNA". It matches the Rfam family "Bacterial small subunit ribosomal RNA", at positions 30 to 507 of the family's 1533-position model. The record is from RNAcentral.
AUUGAACGCUGGCGGCAGGCUUAACACAUGCAAGUCGAGCGGGGAAGAGUAGCUUGCUACUUGACCUAGCGGCGGACGGGUGAGUAAUGCUUAGGAAUCUGCCUAUUAGUGGGGGACAACAUCUCGAAAGGGAUGCUAAUACCGCAUACGUCCUACGGGAGAAAGCAGGGGACCUUCGGGCCUUGCGCUAAUAGAUGAGCCUAAGUCGGAUUAGCUAGUUGGUGGGGUAAAGGCCUACCAAGGCGACGAUCUGUAGCGGGUCUGAGAGGAUGAUCCGCCACACUGGGAGUGAGACACGGCCCAGACUCCUUCGGGAGGCAGCAGUGGGGAAUAUUGGACAAUGGGGGGAACCCUGAUCCAGCCAUGCCGCGUGUGUGAAGAAGGCCUUUUGGUUGUAAAGCACUUUAAGCGAGGAGGAGGCUACCGAGAUUAAUACUCUUGGAUAGUGGACGUUACUCGCAGAAUAAGCACCGGCUAACUCUGUG